CCCGGGCCUUGUACACACCGCCCGUCACGCCAUGGGAGCCGGGAGUGCCCGAAGUCCGUAGGCUAACCGCAAGGAGGGCGAUUACCACGGCAGGGUUCGUGACUGGGGUG
RNAcentral lists this ribosomal RNA (110 nucleotides) under uncultured bacterium. RNAcentral's name for it is "partial 16S ribosomal RNA". It matches the Rfam family "Bacterial small subunit ribosomal RNA", at positions 1373 to 1482 of the family's 1533-position model. The record is from RNAcentral.